RNAcentral lists this ribosomal RNA (406 nucleotides) under uncultured bacterium. RNAcentral describes it as "partial 16S ribosomal RNA". It matches the Rfam family "Bacterial small subunit ribosomal RNA", at positions 30 to 526 of the family's 1533-position model. The record is from RNAcentral.
AUUGAACGCUGGCGGCAUGCUUUACACAUGCAAGUCGAACGAGUGGCGAACGGGCGAGUAAUAUAUCGGAACGUACCGAGUAAUGGGGGAUAACCAAUCUAAAGAUUGGCUAAUACCGACUAUUAUUCUAGCGGCCGAUAACUGAUUAGCUAGUUGGUGGGGUAAAGUCCUACCAAGGCGACGAUCAGUAGCGGGUCUGAGAGGACGAUCCGCCACACUGGGAGUGAGACACGGCCCAGACUCCUACGGGAGGCAGCAGUGGGGAAUUUUGGACAAUGGGGGCAACCCUGACCCAGCCAUGCCGCGUGUAUGAAGAAGGCCUUCGGGUUGUAAAGGACUUUUGUUAGGGAAGCGGUACCUAAAGAAUAAGCACCGGCUGACUACGUGCCAGCAGCCGCGGUAAUAC